Molecule: long non-coding RNA, 397 nt
Filed under: Struthio camelus australis
Lineage: Eukaryota; Metazoa; Chordata; Aves; Struthioniformes; Struthionidae
Description: lncRNA (ENSSCUG00000017544.1)
Source: RNAcentral
AUGAUUGCUGUGUCCUAUCUGCCGUGUGCUGGAACAUACCUAUCAGCUCAAGUUGCUCAAGUAAUCGGAAGGGUUUUGCACAACCAUGAGAGAAGAAUGCAGUCCAGUAUUUUCAGGAAGAUGGAUUCCAGCCCAUUAAAACUAAAAUUUCAGAAAGACAGGCACUCUGAUGUAUCAUCUGUCAAGGUACCUAGAUUCCAGCCUGUGAUUUCAACUGGAUCAAUGAUGGAUCAUAUGAUUCUGUAAGAUAUUUCUUCGGAAGACUAUAGCUAGUAUUUAUUUCAGAGCGAGGACUACGUAAAGACAGAAACAACAACAGAAUUUUUAUUAUAUAAUGAUGGGGGAGACCAGUAAACCAACAGUAUGAUUCAUCUCACUUAACUUAGCCAUCCAAAAG